UUGAGCUGGAUGCUCGGCAACGGGCACGUCCGGUUCUGAGGGGGCCGGGGUGUAGCAAUGCGCUCCGAACUAUCCGAC
Molecule: non-coding RNA, 78 nt
Filed under: Nonomuraea jiangxiensis
Lineage: Bacteria; Bacillati; Actinomycetota; Actinomycetes; Streptosporangiales; Streptosporangiaceae
Source: RNAcentral